AACGAACGCUGGCGGCGUGCCUAAAACAUGCAAGUCGGACGAGAAAGUUCUUCGGAAUGAGUAAAGUGGCGCACGGGUGAGUAACACGUGGAUAACCUACCUUAAGGACAGGGAUAACAUAUCGAAAGAGAUGCUAAUACCUGGUGAAGGUGUUUGUCACAUUGGAGUGACGGAUAUGAGAACGGGCCUCUGUUUACAAGUACCGGCCUUAAGAGGGGUCUGCGUCCCAUUAGCUAGUUGGUGAGGUAAAAGCUUAUCCAAGGCGGUGAUGGGUAGCUGGUCUGAGAGGACGAUCAGCCACACUGGGACUGAAACACGGCCCAGACUCCUACGGGAGGCAGCAGUUGGAAUAUUGCGCAAUGGGGCAAGCCCAUCGACGCAGCGACGCCGCGUGAGCGAAGAAGGCCCUUCGGGUUGUAAAGCUCUGUCGAGUGGGAAGAAUGCUUAGUAGUGAAUAACUGCUCAGUUGACGGUACCACUGGA
Molecule: ribosomal RNA, 483 nt
Filed under: uncultured bacterium
Lineage: Bacteria
Description: bacterial SSU rRNA
Rfam family: Bacterial small subunit ribosomal RNA
Source: RNAcentral